RNAcentral lists this unclassified non-coding RNA (1485 nucleotides) under Hevea brasiliensis (rubber tree). Lineage: Eukaryota; Viridiplantae; Streptophyta; Magnoliopsida; Malpighiales; Euphorbiaceae. The record is from RNAcentral.
GCUUUGUUGUCAAAGCAUCCACCUAUUAAAGAUCAGAAAUGAAUCAUAUUGCAAACCAAAGUGAAUUUUAAGAUCCAAGACAACUUCAGGCAGUACAUGACCAACGAAAAAUCUAAACAGAGGUAAAGCCUAGCAUUAAUCUACUCGAGAUCAUUAAUUUCCAUUGUAAUUCUUACCCAUAAGAUUCAUGAUGACACAAAAAAAUAGAAGAUCCCUAUAAUAGGCAACAUCCUUUGAAAUUGAAUAAAGGGCUUGAUAAAAAUAUCCAGUUUGACUUUGUUGGCUUUAUUUCAUAUUUUUUUUUUCCUCAAAGCAUUAUAGUUAGUUUGUUGUACAAUAAAAAAAAAUUGCACAAGUUAUCAAUUACAUAUUUUUCUACAUGACGAGGUUAAAACAGUAAGCUUGAUUUGUCAUAUAAACGGGCACGCAAAUAUUAGUGAAGGGGUCAAGUAUUAUUCAUUCUAAAAUCUUAACUUCAGCUACAGGUUGAGAUACAGCUAAUGUUCUGCUCUUUUCUUUUUAGCAUAAAUUUAAUUUGAAUGGUUAACUUUUAAAGUAAGUUACAAAAGAAGUAUAGGAUUACAAUUUUCACAAAUCUAGGGCAAAAGGGGCAAAUGCACUACAAAUUAGAUAACUGAAUUUGGAUAGAGUUACACAAUACCAACACAACAUUUGACUGAUUUAGAAUCAGCUCACAGUAGUAUCUUGUGAAACGAUUCAAUGUUACAGUAGGUAGAGUUAUAGGUAAAAGGAGAAUGGAGAAGAAAGAUAGAAUUCAUAGAUAAGAGUUGCAAUAUCUGAGCAACUAAGAGAAGCUCAACAUGCAACUAACAGUGUUGUGUAUGGAAAAUUGUGCUCAGGUUAACAAACUAUAAGGCAAAAUUCAAAAGAGUCUGACAAGAUAAACUAAGCAGUAUUCAAGCACCAAUGGGACAAAAAAAGAACCUUCAGUUGAAGAAAGCCAUGUGAAACUUUUAAAAGAUUUAUAAACCUAGCAAAUUCAACCAUUAUUCUUAGUUGGGACAUUAAAUUGAAUUUAAGUGUCCAAAAUUUUCCUGAUUAAUUACGAAAAUAACAAGAAUAUCACGCAUAGCAGUUUCUAGUAAAUGUUACAAAUAGUUUGAAACAAACUUGGUCAUAGAAAGAAUAUAAAUUGCUGCGUUUACAUUAAAUAACAACUUUCUUAGCCUAAAUAAAAAUAAUAACAAGUUUCUUAAUGAGCUUUUGCAGAAAAGAGACGUUAACAGCAGAAAGGAUUCUGGGAAGAGUUAAAAGGAAAAAUAAAUAAAUAAAUUUCAUUCACACAGCCAGUCCCAUGUGCAUGGACUUUAAGGCCUUAAUUGCCUAAAUUAUGUCCAUAUGCAGAUUUGCAUUUGAAGGUCAUGGAUAUCCCCAAAUGCAUAUACGCAUAGGCUAGUAAAACAAAAAAUUUAGAGACUACAUUAUCUGCAGAUGUUGUCCAAGUUGUCAAAAAAAAAAAAAAGU